RNAcentral lists this microRNA precursor (69 nucleotides) under Fukomys damarensis (Damara mole-rat). RNAcentral describes it as "mir-8/mir-141/mir-200 microRNA precursor family". It matches the Rfam family "mir-8/mir-141/mir-200 microRNA precursor family". From Rfam's summary of the family: The bounds of the precursors are predicted based on conservation and base pairing and are not generally known. The record is from Rfam by way of RNAcentral. Lineage: Eukaryota; Metazoa; Chordata; Mammalia; Rodentia; Bathyergidae.
GUGGGCAUCUUAUCGGACAGUGCUGGAUUUCUUGGCUUGACUCUAACACUGUCUGGUAACGAUGUUCAA